UGACGGUGGCAUUGCAUAUUAUUUUGUUUUUCUUUAAAAGAUGUAGCUGCUGGAAGCACACGGACCUUUCAUCUUUGCUGGAGGAAAAGUAGAAGCAAACAGUGAUUGAUGGGAGAUGGAGGUUCCACGCAUUUAAGGAAGUCAUUCCUCAACAUUUACUUUCUUUCAAGUUGAUUUUCAUUUUAAGUUACUCGCUGGUGGCAUAGUUUAUAAAUUUGAUUCAUUUCCUUUCUUUAGAUAAGUAAGUGUUGCACGGUGUUUUAGGAUUGUUUCUUAUUCUAGUUUAAAUGUUCACUUUAUUAUUAGUUAAAUAUUGCAAUUUACCAUUCCCG
RNAcentral lists this long non-coding RNA (332 nucleotides) under Vigna radiata. RNAcentral describes it as "long non-coding RNA (VRAD_LNC004706)". Lineage: Eukaryota; Viridiplantae; Streptophyta; Magnoliopsida; Fabales; Fabaceae. The record is from RNAcentral.